GUGUCAGCAGCCGCGGUAAUACGUAGGGGGCAAGCGUUGUCCGGAUUUAUUGGGCGUAAAGAGCGUGUAGGCGGCCUGGUAGGUCAGUUGUGAAAACUCGAGGCUCAACCUCGAGACGCCGAUUGAAACCAUCAGGCUAGAGUCCGGAAGAGGAGAGUGGAAUUCCCGGUGUAGCGGUGAAAUGCGCAGAUAUCGGGAAGAACACCCGUGGCUAAGGCGGCUCUCUAGUACGGUACUGACGCUGAGACGCGAAAGCGUGGGGAGCGAACAGGAUUAGAUACCCCGGUAGUCC
This 292-nucleotide ribosomal RNA is filed under the name uncultured bacterium. RNAcentral describes it as "partial 16S ribosomal RNA". It matches the Rfam family "Bacterial small subunit ribosomal RNA", at positions 505 to 796 of the family's 1533-position model. The record is from RNAcentral.